RNAcentral lists this unclassified non-coding RNA (337 nucleotides) under soil metagenome. Its description in RNAcentral is "partial contains 5.8S ribosomal RNA, internal transcribed spacer 2, and large subunit ribosomal RNA". The stretch from base 1 to 120 matches the Rfam family "5.8S ribosomal RNA", at positions 35 to 154 of the family's 154-position model. The record is from RNAcentral.
GAUGAAGAACGUAGUGAAAUGCGAUAAGUAGUGUGAAUUGCAGAAUUCAGUGAAUCAUCGAAUCUUUGAACGCACAUUGCGCCCCUUGGUAUUCCAUGGGGCAUGCCUGUUUGAGCGUCAUUUGUACCUUCAAGCCUUGCUUGGUGUUGGGUGUUUGUCUCGCCUCUGCGCGCAGACUCGCCUCAAAACAAUUGGCAGCCGGCGUAUUGAUUUCGGAGCGCAGUACAUCUCGCGCUUUGCACUCAGAACGACGACGUCCAAAAGUACAUUUUUACACUCUUGACCUCGGAUCAGGUAGGGAUACCCGCUGAACUUAAGCAUAUCAAUAAGCGGAGGA